Molecule: ribosomal RNA, 460 nt
Filed under: uncultured bacterium
Lineage: Bacteria
Description: partial 16S ribosomal RNA
Rfam family: Bacterial small subunit ribosomal RNA
Source: RNAcentral
CCUACGGGUGGCAGCAGUGAGGAAUAUUGGUCAAUGGGCUGACGCCUGAACCAGCCAAGUCGCGUGAGGGAAGACUGCCCUAUGGGUUGUAAACCUCUUUUGUCAGGGAGCAACGUCGGCUACGUGUAGCCGGACUGAGAGUACCUGAAGACAAAGCACCGGCGAACUCCGUGCCAGCAGCCGCGGAAAUACGGAGGAUGCGAGCGUUACCCGGAUUUAUUGGGUUUAAAGGGUGCGUAGGCGGACUGCCAAGUCAGCGGGAAAAUCGCGGGGCUAACCCUCGCUCCGCCGUUGAAACUGGCGGUCUUGAGUAGGCGAGAAGUAUGCGGAAUGCGUGGUGUAGCGGUGAAAUGCAUAGAUAUCACGCAGAACUCCGAUGGCGAAGGCAGCAUACCGGCGCCCAACUGACGCUGAGGCACGAAAGCGUGGGUAGCGAACAGGAUUAGAUACCCCGGUAGUC